This 784-nucleotide ribosomal RNA is filed under the name Dictyostelium sp. RNAcentral's name for it is "SSU rRNA". It matches the Rfam family "Eukaryotic small subunit ribosomal RNA", at positions 49 to 836 of the family's 1831-position model. The record is from RNAcentral. Lineage: Eukaryota; Evosea; Eumycetozoa; Dictyosteliales; Dictyosteliaceae.
CCAUGCAUGUCUAAGUAUAAAUUCUUGUACGAUGAAACUGCAGACGGCUCAAUACAACAGUGAUAAACUAAUAGACUUUCGGGUUUUUAACCUUUUGGAUAACCGCAGUAAAUCGGGGCUAAUACAUACAAGCGAUGGGUGACUGGCAACGGAAGCUCAGCGAUUAUUAGCAUUACUACCAAUACCUUCGGGUCUUGUGGUGAAACCGAAUAAUAUUGCAGAUCGAGGAUUUAUCUUCGACAAGUCUACUGUGUCACUGCCCUAUCAACUUUCGAUGGUACGGUAUUGGCCUACCAUGGUUGUAACGGGUAACGGGGAAUUAGGGUUCGAUUCCGGAGAGGGAGCCUGAGAAAUGGCUACCACUUCUACGGAAGGCAGCAGGCGCGCAAAUUACUCAAUCCCAAUACGGGGAAGUAGUGACAAUAAAUAUCAAUACCUAUCCUUAACGGAGGGCAAUUGAAAUGAACACAAAUUAAAACUCUUAAUUAACACAAUUGGAGGGCAAGUCUGGUGCCAGCAGCCGCGGUAAUUCCAGCUCCAAUAGCAUAUACUAAAGUUGUUGCAGUUAAAAAGCUCGUAGUUGAAGUUAAAGGUUUACUGGGCUAAAGUUAUUUGCCACUCUGGUGGUUAAAUCAACUCCAGUAUUCCUUUUUUUAAUAGCUCUGCUUCUAGCAUCUUUGAUGUUAGUUGUUUGGGCAUUUCACUGUGAGAAAAUUGUGGUGUUUAAAGCAGGCGUCUCGCCUGAUCUUUUGCAGCAUGGUAUGAUGAAACAUGACAUUUUACG